RNAcentral lists this unclassified non-coding RNA (320 nucleotides) under Athalia rosae (coleseed sawfly). RNAcentral's name for it is "misc RNA ENSAEAG00005008923.1". The record is from RNAcentral. Lineage: Eukaryota; Metazoa; Arthropoda; Insecta; Hymenoptera; Athaliidae.
UUAUCGAUAGUGUACGAGUAAAUUUAUUGUUGUGAUAAUUCGUUAUAUAUAAUAUUGGUGUGUUCAUACCACAGUGACGACAACCGUUGAUGUUACAUGUCGUGAUUAACACGUUGAAAUCGAAACCGAGAUAGAUAAAAAAAAAAAAAAAGCUAAGAAAAAGUGUUCCGCCACCGUUUUCAUACCCAAGCAAUGUGCAGUCAUUCGCAUUUUUCAUACGCAUAGUACUUAUACCUACUUAUAUGGUAAAUGUCGUUAUCGAGAAUAUAUCGGGCUCACCGAUGUGAGUGAGGGACACAGAUUUGUCUUCCGAACACCGA